CAGUAGCCACGGUAAUACGUAGGUGGCAAGCGUUGUCCGGAUUUAUUGGGCGUAAAGCGAGCGCAGGCGGUCAAUUAAGUCUGAUGUGAAAGCCCCCGGCUCAACCGGGGAGGGUCAUUGGAAACUGGUUGACUUGAGUGCAGAAGAGGAGAGUGGAAUUCCAUGUGUAGCGGUGAAAUGCGUAGAUAUAUGGAGGAACACCAGUGGCGAAGGCGACUCUCUGGUCUGUAACUGACGCUGAGGCUCGAAAGCGUGGGUAGCAAACAGGAUUAGAUACCCCCGUAGUCCCUGUCUCUUAUAU
RNAcentral lists this ribosomal RNA (301 nucleotides) under uncultured bacterium. RNAcentral's name for it is "partial 16S ribosomal RNA". It matches the Rfam family "Bacterial small subunit ribosomal RNA", at positions 509 to 809 of the family's 1533-position model. The record is from RNAcentral.